GGGGAGGGCUGGGGGGGGGGUGAAGGCGGGGAGGGCGGGCGGGGAGGGGCUGGUUUGGUGGGGGGCUCGAGUGGCGGACGGGGGAGUAACACGGGAGUAAGCGGCCCGUGACUGUGGGAUAAGGUCAGGAAACUGGGGCUGAUACCGGAUAGGUGCUCUUGUGGCAGGGGGGGUGGUGGGUAGGUUCGGCGUUGGGGGAUGGAUGCUUGGUGUAUCAGCGUGUUGGUGGGGUAUUGGCUUGCCAAGGCUUGGACGGGUCGCCGGCCUGAGAGGGUGACCGGCCACAUUGGGACUGAGAUACGGCCCAGACUCCUACGGGAGGCAGAAGUGGGGAAGAUUGCACAAUGGGCGGAAGCCGGAUGCAGCAACGCCGCGUGCGGGAUGACGGCCUUCGGGUUGUAAACCGCGUUCGCCUGUGACGAAGCGUGAGUGACGGUAAUGGGUAAAGAAGCACCGGCUAACUACGUG
This 468-nucleotide ribosomal RNA is filed under the name uncultured bacterium. RNAcentral describes it as "partial 16S ribosomal RNA". The stretch from base 55 to 468 matches the Rfam family "Bacterial small subunit ribosomal RNA", at positions 36 to 507 of the family's 1533-position model. The record is from RNAcentral.